AUUGAACGCUGGCGGCAUGCUUUACACAUGCAAGUCGAACGGCAGCGCGGGCUUCGUCCUGGCGGCGAGUGGCGAACGGGUGAGUAAUUCAUCGGAACGUGCCCAGUAUUUGGGGAUAGCCCGGCGAAAGCCGGAUUAAUACCGCAUACGACCUGAGGUUGAACGCGGGGGACCGAAAGGCCUCGCGCUAUUUGAUCGGCCGAUGUCGGAUUAGCUAGUUGGUGGGGUAAAGGCUUACCAAGGCGACGAUCCGUAGCUGGUCUGAGAGGACGACCAGCCACACUGGGACUGAGACACGGCCCAGACUCCUACGGGAGGCAGCAGUGGGGAAUUUUGGACAAUGGGGGCAACCCUGAUCCAGCCAUGCCGCGUGAGGGAAGAAGGCCUUCGGGUUGUAAAACGCUUUUGUUAGGGAAGAAAUCCUCUGGGCUAAUACCCCGGGGGGAUGACGGUACCGGAAGAAUAAGCACCGGCUAACUACGUG
Molecule: ribosomal RNA, 484 nt
Filed under: uncultured bacterium
Lineage: Bacteria
Description: partial 16S ribosomal RNA
Rfam family: Bacterial small subunit ribosomal RNA
Source: RNAcentral